This 487-nucleotide ribosomal RNA is filed under the name uncultured Methylibium sp. Its description in RNAcentral is "bacterial SSU rRNA". It matches the Rfam family "Bacterial small subunit ribosomal RNA", at positions 91 to 572 of the family's 1533-position model. Lineage: Bacteria; Pseudomonadati; Pseudomonadota; Betaproteobacteria; Burkholderiales; Sphaerotilaceae. The record is from RNAcentral.
GCGAGUGGCGAACGGGUGAGUAACAUAUCGGAACGUGCCCAGUAAUGGGGGAUAGCCCGGCGAAAGCCGGAUUAAUACCGCAUACGACCUACGGGCGAAAGCGGGGGACCUGCAAGGGCCUCGCGUUAUUGGAGCGGCCGAUAUCAGAUUAGCUAGUUGGUGGGGUAAAGGCCUACCAAGGCGACGAUCUGUAGCUGGUCUGAGAGGACGACCAGCCACACUGGGACUGAGACACGGCCCAGACUCCUACGGGAGGCAGCAGUGGGGAAUUUUGGACAAUGGGCGCAAGCCUGAUCCAGCCAUGCCGCGUGUGGGAAGAAGGCCUUCGGGUUGUAAACCACUUUUGUCAGGGAAGAAACGGUCUGCCCUAAUACGGUGGGCUAAUGACGGUACCGUAAGAAUAAGCACCGGCUAACUACGUGCCAGCAGCCGCGGUAAUACGUAGGGUGCGAGCGUUAAUCGGAAUUACUGGGCGUAAAGCGUGCGC